UACCAGCACCCCGAGUGGUCGGGACGAUUAUUGGGCCUAAAGCAUCCGUAGCCGGUCCUGCAAGUCUUCCGUUAAAUCCAGCUGCUCAACAGAUGGGCUGCGGGAGAUACUACAGGGCUAGGAGGCGGGAGAGGCAAGCGGUACUUUAUGGGUAGGGGUAAAAUCCGCUGAUCCAUAGAAGACCACCAGUGGCGAAGGCGGCUUGCCAGAACGCGCUCGACGGUGAGGGAUGAAAGCUGGGGGAGCAAACCG
RNAcentral lists this ribosomal RNA (252 nucleotides) under uncultured bacterium. RNAcentral describes it as "partial 16S ribosomal RNA". It matches the Rfam family "Archaeal small subunit ribosomal RNA", at positions 474 to 726 of the family's 1478-position model. The record is from RNAcentral.